Molecule: ribosomal RNA, 496 nt
Filed under: uncultured bacterium
Lineage: Bacteria
Description: partial 16S ribosomal RNA
Rfam family: Bacterial small subunit ribosomal RNA
Source: RNAcentral
GAUGAACGCUGGCGGCGUGCCUAAUACAUGCAAGUCGAGCGAACGGACGAGAAGCUUGCUUCUCUGAUGUUAGCGGCGGACGGGUGAGUAACACGUGGAUAACCUACCUAUAAGACUGGGAUAACUUCGGGAAACCGGAGCUAAUACCGGAUAAUAUUUUGAACCGCAUGGUUCAAAAGUGAAAGACGGUCUUGCUGUCACUUAUAGAUGGAUCCGCGCUGCAUUAGCUAGUUGGUAAGGUAACGGCUUACCAAGGCAACGAUGCAUAGCCGACCUGAGAGGGUGAUCGGCCACACUGGACCUGAGACACGGUCCAGACUCCUACGGGAGGCAGCAGUAGGGAAUCUUCCGCAAUGGGCGAAAGCCUGACGGAGCAACGCCGCGUGAGUGAUGAAGGUCUUCGGCUCGUAAAACUCUGUAUUAGGGAAGAACAUAUGUGUAAGUAACUGUGCACAUCUUGACGGUACCUAAUCAGAAAGCCACGGCUAACUACGUG